Molecule: long non-coding RNA, 1486 nt
Organism: Thunnus maccoyii (southern bluefin tuna)
Lineage: Eukaryota; Metazoa; Chordata; Actinopteri; Scombriformes; Scombridae
Exons: 4
Source: RefSeq, a predicted model, not a curated record
ACACAACACUUAUCCCAGACCACAGAAUGAAGUAAGUUACACUCAUUUCAUCCUCCAAUUCUCUGCAAUGACUCAGAUCACUCUGAUACAUCGCUGAUUAACAUGGUGACUCUGAAAUCUAUUACUAAGAAGAAAAUCACGGACUUAAGAUCAAAAAAAGUUCAAAAAGGGAAGUAACAGGUAGAUUCAGUUUUGGGGUAGAUCCACCACUUACCUAUUUCCCUUCAUCCUCUCUAAAAGUAAGACCCUCAGAGGCCUCCCAUAAUGAGGUCUGUCCUGCUGCUAAGGCUGAGUCUCGUUAAGCCUCCUGCCCUCGUUAAGCCAGGGCUUGAUUGGAAGCCCUCUACCACUAUUCUUUAAUGAGUACCAGAAGCUGUUGGCUAAUGGACAGGGAGAUUCUCCCGUACAUCUAGUGGUUUCAUCAAAAGGUAGAAUGACACAACUUUUGACAGAGUUGGGGAGAAGUUUGAUUAAAAAGAAUACAAGUUUUUGAUCAUUUUCCUUUUUCCUUUCCUUGGCCAACCAGGAGACAUUUUCUACAAUGAUAUGAGAGACAAUGAAGUGAAGGAAGAUGCAGUCACAUACCAAACCAUUCAAAUUUAAAAGGCGUACUAUUACAGCCACAGGAGAUGGCCAGGAAUCUGUCAAAACAACAGUCAUGGAUGAGCGCAUUGGAGCCAUCAUUGGAGAGGUUUGUUUCUCGGGGGUGCAGUCUGAUAGUCUGCUGGACAGUGACCUACCACAGCCAGGAAACAUCCCGUCAGCACCAGACAGCAUACCCCAGAAUCAACUAGCAAGAUCUGAAGACAAUGUCGAUUGCUCCAAUAGUACUGGACAGUCCAGGAACGACAUAAAAAUCCCUUUUUAUCUGGGUGUGCUGAGCAGCGGUAUAUGGAAACUGAAUGUACUGGUGUUAACUGGACGAUACCCUGGAGAACUUUGGGGAGCACACGACUGACGGUGGUAUGCCAGACCUAUCACCGAUCUCUGUCUGGAAGGUCCCAGUAGCCAGGAAACCGAUAAUGGGGUCUUUGCUGCACUAGUGACCAUGGCAACACCUGACAGGAAGCGAGGAGCCUGACGAGACCUUUACGACAGCCUCAACAGUCGAGAGAAGCAACAGUAACUCUGAGCCGGGAUAAUAGUUCCCACUCCUGCAGCUCUGGCUUCUGUUUGAAAGUGAGUGCCUAGUGGUAGCUCAGUCAGGUGUAGCCUGAACCUGCCACUUGCCAGUCUUACUCUUCUCGGACUCAGCACCUGCUAUGUGAGAGGUAGAAGAAGCCCAGUGUGUUUCCUGCUGGUUAAAAGACAGGAUUUUUGGAAGUCAGUGAGUUGAGGAGAUGACUAAGGCUGCUCCCCCUAAAACUCAAUGAGACGAAUCAUCUGUCGGAGACCCCUUAGUUGACUGAGAUUCUUCGAGUCCAGCAGUCAGUGUGCGUUACAAUAACAAGAUGAAACAGAUAGAAGCUUAAAAAAUGCAAAAAUG